RNAcentral lists this unclassified non-coding RNA (896 nucleotides) under Bradyrhizobium sp. YJ3. RNAcentral describes it as "partial 16S-23S ribosomal RNA intergenic spacer". The stretch from base 783 to 896 matches the Rfam family "Bacterial large subunit ribosomal RNA", at positions 1 to 113 of the family's 2925-position model. Lineage: Bacteria; Pseudomonadati; Pseudomonadota; Alphaproteobacteria; Hyphomicrobiales; Nitrobacteraceae. The record is from RNAcentral.
GGCCAACAGAUCGCCAGAUCGUUGAGCUCCAUUGGCGGGAUUUCGCCGUCUACGUUUCUCUUUCUUCGCGGACGAACACGCGCUGGGCCUGCAUCGGCAGGAUCCAGGGUCCUUAACGGGAUAUGCGUUAGGGGCUUGUAGCUCAGUUGGUUAGAGCGCGCGCUUGAUAAGCGUGAGGUCGGAAGUUCAAGUCUUCCCAGGCCCACCACGCUUCGCCGUUGGCUUCGCGUGGCACCGCCACGCAAGACGAUGCGAAGCGUGUCCGGCAUAGCCGUAAGGCGACGCCGGACUUUUGAAGGGCGCUUCGUCUUCUGGUUACGGGGCCAUAGCUCAGCUGGGAGAGCGCGUGCUUUGCAAGCAUGAGGUCGUCGGUUCGAUCCCGUCUGGCUCCACCAGAUGGUUUGAUCAUCGACUGAUCGUGCACCGUCGUCCGCGAAACAUCACUUCGCAUCCUGCUAGUCUGGAUAGACAGCAAGAUGCGUGUUUUCUGACAUCGUAAAGAGGAGAUCGAUCCGAGUUGGGUCGUGUAGCAGAUUGCUGCGCGAAUCCUUCAUUAUCUCCGGAUCAUUUUCGGCGCUCAUUGCCGACCGCAAGGUUGGUAGCGAGUUGUAAAAUGAUCCUUUUAGCGAAGCUUGACCGCCUCGCUAUCGGAACGAUCUUACGAAGCAAGCUGGUCUUUCUAGUCAAUGUCCGGCUGUACGUAGCAUUCAUCGAGGGUGCGCGCCGUAAGGCAAUCGUACAGACAACAUUCUGCCGAGUGUGUGGACAUUGAUAAUGAGAGCAAUCAAGUGCCUUAAGGGUGUUCGGUGGAUGCCUUGGCGCUGAGAGGCGAUGAAGGACGUGCUACGCUGCGAUAAGCCGUGGGGAGCUGCGAAGAAGCUUUGAUCCGCGGAUUU